ACCUGAAAAUCAGAAACAGCUGUACUGGCCCACAGAGCCGUGACAGAGCACAGGUAGCCAGACUCUGAGUGGGGGACCCCCCGAGCUGUCAGGGAUGAGGUGCUGGGAGCAGAAGUGCAGCCAGAGUGAGGAGCACGCCAUCCACGGCCUACCUGUUCAUCCCGCAUUAGACAGUCUUUUAAAGCCGCAUACUGUAAGGGGGGCACAGGGGACAGGGAGGAAUUGCCUCGUUCUAUAAACAGUUGUCUAGCUCUAUAAACUCCCUGUUUUAUUUGAUCUGAGUGGCUCCUUAGCACAAUGAGUUUGCACAGCCUCCCAGAAUUUGCUGUGUGGCAUUAUUACUUUUGUCCUUUUAAUUCUCAUUCCUGAGCACGUGGGCCUAAUGAGAAGAUGACGACAGCUACUUGGAAUGUGCCCCUCCUCCUUUGCCGAGGGGCCCAGAGCUGAGAGCCCACAGCAUUUGUCUCUGGAGCUCAGCGAAGGGGGAGGGCACAAGAUCUGCUGAAAUAAUGAGGGCUAGGGUGUUAGUUUAUUAAAUUUGAUCUCUGCCCCAGACCAUCUUGCAUCUGGAAGCGGGACUGCAGACAUCUUCCAGACACUCUGAGCCCUUGGAAGGAAAGUAUUCACUCAAGAGAAUUUGACUUGGUCACCCCUCAGGGCACUGGAUGCUGCUGGUGGGGGUCGUCCCUGGUGUGGCCAGCCCAGAGACAGCCUCCCUGAGCUCUCUCAGGCUGGCUCACAGACAGCAGGCCCACAGCCUGGAAGAACCUGCUGGAGCUUAAGGUCUCCUGACAGAGCCUGUGAAGACUCCCAGUUCCCUCCAUACCACGAUAAGGCUUAAGAAGAGAGCUUCAGCAGGGCUCCUUUGCUCCUCCACGAAAAUUAAGACGCAACCUGCUAAUUACCCUGGGUGCUUUAAAAAUGUGGGUGAAAAAUGAUCCUCAAUAAAGGCCCUUUUUCGAUUCUACAAGGAGCAGGAAGAGGUCCAACAGAAUCCCACAGGAAAGAAGAGUCAUGGAGCUACAACAUGAGCCACCUCCCAGAGCAUCCUGGGGGAUACAGGAAUGGCCCGGGUGGUACCAGAGGGGCGUGGCCUCAUGGGAGGCAGGAGCGUCCCUUGCUUUCCAGGGCACCGCUGACCAUGACAGCGGGCCCCAAAGGAGGGGUAGCACCUACCACUUGAAUUUGGGGCCUCGGGUCCGUUCCAGUUCUUGCUGCCUCGUCAGCUCCAACACCCACUCUUCCUCUGCCCGAAGGCACUGCAAACGGAGUCGCCUCAAGGCUUUCUGAAUGGGGGCCGUGGUCCCCAGGGACUGAUGUACAUGCCCUUCUUUGAGGGUCUGGAAGAACCUGAAAUGAACAGACUUGGGGUUCUAAGCUGUCAUGGUACCCUGUUUCUGGUUCUGGACCCCCAUAGCCACUCCCCAAGUUUCCCUUGCCCCAUCUGACUUUAUUAGCCAAGGAAUCACUUGCCAAACAAUGGGUGUGCUAGUGACUGGCCUUAGGCAUGGGUGCCUACCUGAACUGUAUCACCCUGUGGCAUCUGGGCUGCAGUAGGUGCCUAAUAAAUAGUUGCUGAAUUAUUGAAA
Molecule: non-coding RNA, 1589 nt
Organism: Phascolarctos cinereus (koala)
Lineage: Eukaryota; Metazoa; Chordata; Mammalia; Diprotodontia; Phascolarctidae
Source: RefSeq, a predicted model, not a curated record